CCUGUGGUGUAGUGGUUAACAUGCCGGUCUGUCACACCGGAGAUCGCGAGUUCAAAUCUCGUCAGG
Molecule: transfer RNA, 66 nt
Filed under: marine eukaryotic metagenome
Rfam family: tRNA
About the family: Transfer RNA (tRNA) molecules are approximately 80 nucleotides in length. Their secondary structure includes four short double-helical elements and three loops (D, anti-codon, and T loops).
Source: RNAcentral